RNAcentral lists this ribosomal RNA (825 nucleotides) under Fusarium sp. G168. RNAcentral describes it as "eukaryotic LSU rRNA". Lineage: Eukaryota; Fungi; Ascomycota; Sordariomycetes; Hypocreales; Nectriaceae. The record is from RNAcentral.
ACAACUCCCAAACCCCUGUGAACAUACCUUAAUGUUGCCUCGGCGGAUCAGCCCGCGCCCCGUAAAACGGGACGGCCCGCCAGAGGACCCAAACUCUAAUGUUUCUUAUUGUAACUUCUGAGUAAAACAAACAAAUAAAUCAAAACUUUCAACAACGGAUCUCUUGGUUCUGGCAUCGAUGAAGAACGCAGCAAAAUGCGAUAAGUAAUGUGAAUUGCAGAAUUCAGUGAAUCAUCGAAUCUUUGAACGCACAUUGCGCCCGCUGGUAUUCCGGCGGGCAUGCCUGUUCGAGCGUCAUUUCAACCCUCAAGCCCUCGGGUUUGGUGUUGGGGAUCGGCUCUGCCUUCUGGCGGUGCCGCCCCCGAAAUACAUUGGCGGUCUCGCUGCAGCCUCCAUUGCGUAGUAGCUAACACCUCGCAACUGGAACGCGGCGCGGCCAUGCCGUAAAACCCCAACUUCUGAAUGUUGACCUCGGAUCAGGUAGGAAUACCCGCUGAACUUAAGCAUAUCAAUAAGCGGAGGAAAAGAAACCAACAGGGAUUGCCCUAGUAACGGCGAGUGAAGCGGCAACAGCUCAAAUUUGAAAUCUGGCUUUCGGGCCCGAGUUGUAAUUUGUAGAGGAUACUUYUGAUGCGGUGCCUUCCGAGUUCCCUGGAACGGGACGCCAUAGAGGGUGAGAGCCCCGUCUGGUYGGAUGCCAAAUCUCUGUAAAGUUCCUUCGACGAGUCGAGUAGUUUGGGAAUGCUGCUCUAAAUGGGAGGUAUAUGUCUUCUAAAGCUAAAUAUUGGCCAGAGACCGAUAGCGCACAAGUAGAGUGAUCGAAAG